CCUACGGGUGGCAGCAGUGGGGAAUAUUGGGCAAUGGGCGCAAGCCUGACCCAGCAACGCCGCGUGAAGGAAGAAGGCUUUCGGGUUGUAAACUUCUUUUCUGAGGGACGAAGAAAGUGACGGUAACUCAGGAAUAAGCCACGGCUAACAACGUGCCAGCAGCCGCGGUAAUACGUAGGUGUCACGCGUUAUCCGGAUGUAUUGGGUGUAAAGGGCGUGUAGGCGGGACAGCAAGGCAGAUGUGAAAACUCGUGGCUCAACCCUGAGACUGCAUUUGAAACUGUGUUUCUUGUGUGCUGGAGAGGGGAUCGGAAUUCCGUGUGGUGCGGUGGAAUGCGGAGAUAUACGGAGGGACACCAGUGGCGAAGGCGGAUUGCUGGACAGUAACUGACGCUGAGGCGCGAAAGCGUGGGGAGCAAACAGGAUUAGAUACCCCUGUAGUCC
Molecule: ribosomal RNA, 444 nt
Filed under: uncultured bacterium
Lineage: Bacteria
Description: partial 16S ribosomal RNA
Rfam family: Bacterial small subunit ribosomal RNA
Source: RNAcentral